GGGGUGCUUAUAAAACUGACUCAGUGUGUGUGAGGUUCUUUAGGUGGAUAUGGGGCGGGUAUAAAACUGACUGAGUGUGUGUGAGGUUAUUUAGGUGAAUAUGGGUUGGUUAUAAAACUGACUGAUGGGUGUGUGAGGUUCUUUAGGUGAAUAUGGGGAGCUUAUAAAACUGACUGAGUGUGUGUGAGGUUCGAGGUUCUUUAGGUGGAUAUGGGGAGCUUAUAAAACUGACUGAUGGGGUGUACAAUGUGAAAAUGUAGAAGUGGAGGCUGUGAUGUUUUGAUGAAUACAUAAAACUCAUCAAACCGCAUUUGCAGCAGAAAAUGAAGAAGUGGCAAAGAGCUGGAGCACGAGCCCAG
This is a long non-coding RNA of Clupea harengus (Atlantic herring), 359 nucleotides long. NCBI's taxonomy places the organism in Eukaryota, Metazoa, Chordata, Actinopteri, Clupeiformes, Clupeidae. The record is from Ensembl.